UGCCCAGCAACUCCUAUCCCUACCUCCUCGUGGUACUGGCCGGAGUACGAGUAACCUUGGGGAAGAUCGGGUAACCAACCCCCGGUGGGAACUUUGGUCGUAUGCUGACAGCGAAGG
RNAcentral lists this ribozyme (117 nucleotides) under Aedes aegypti (yellow fever mosquito). RNAcentral describes it as "drz-agam-1 ribozyme". It matches the Rfam family "drz-agam-1 ribozyme". Lineage: Eukaryota; Metazoa; Arthropoda; Insecta; Diptera; Culicidae. The record is from Rfam by way of RNAcentral.